AUGCUCGAGGAGGCCCAGUCCGACUCGCCGGUUUCAUUCUACUCGCAUCUUGAUUCUAGCGAAGCAAGCGACAGCGAGGCAGCUCUACAUGACAAAGGGAGGUCAGCAAAGAUUAUGCCUAUUGAUGCAGAUUUCUUGUCAAGUAAACUCCAUGAAAGAUCAUGCCACAACAAGAGUCUAACAUGGUGCACUUCUCCUGAGAAUGCAAUGAUAUAUGCUCCUGAAUCUCCACUUUACACUGUCGAUGACGCUGAGAUGCAACCAAACAACUUGCAAUUAAGCAGAUCACAAGGCUCACCGAACAAUCUGUCAACUUCAGUCUUCGAUCUGCACAAUGCAGACUCAUACGCUGUGUCCAACUAUUUUAACAAGGAUGACAUUUCUCCACAAUGCACACCCAGACAUGAUCUCAGGUGCUUCAGCAACUUCUCAACCAAAUUCAUCAAGAGAAGUGCUCUAUCCGACCUAGUGUCUCGAGGAAGCAUGAGUAGGAAAUUCAAACCUUUCUCAAACAGUGAUGACUGGAGCGAUGCUAGCUCGCGCAGCGGGAACAACAGUCAGGUUGAUUUUCUUGAAAGAUUCGAGAAGGCGGUAUCAAAACUAUUGGUUUCUGACGGGCUAGAAAGCUGCCUAGAUGCCAGCUCAGAAGUCACAACUAUAUGGCAGCUGCUGAGCCAUACAUCUGAAGUGAGACACAAACCGUCAGUAAGGCAAGACAUCCUUGAACAACUGUUUGAUAGCAUUUCAACAGACAAGAAGGAUAAAGUGAUCAGAGCAUCAGUCUAUGUUCUAGUGCUUAUGAUAUCUGAAGAUAGGAAUGUAAUGAGAGACAUCAAGAAGAAAGACUACUAUUUAUCCAAUUUAGCCACUGUGUUGAAGAGAGAUGUGCAUGAAGCGGUCAUUCUGAUAUAUUUAUUGGAUCCUUCACCUUCUGAGAUAAAAAAUUUGGAGCUGUUACCUUCACUUUUACACGUGGCCUGUAAUACUGCCACCCAAAAAUGGCCUACACUGCUUCCACUGACGCCAACAUCCGCAUCAAUAGCUCUCAUUGAGAUCUUGGUGACAGCAUUUGACUAUGUAACGAAUAAUGUUCACUUGGCCACAAUCAGCUCUCCUCCUAUUCUCUCUAAGCUUGUUGAUGUUGCAAAGAACAACAACUUGGAAGAAGGCAUGGCCCUGGCAGCUAUUCUCGUCAGGUGUGUGCGACUUAGCGGAAACUGUAAGAAGUUUCUGUCACAGGCUACUCCAGUGGAACCUUUCCUUCACCUUCUCAGAAGGAAAGAACAGCGUGUCAAGUACGCUGCGCUUGAAUACUUCCAUGAGAUUCUUCAGAUUCCUCGGUCCUCUGCAAUUUCUUUGCUACAAAAAAUAUGGCAGCUAGGAGGUAUUGCUAUUAUGCAUACAUUGGUGGCCUGCCUCCAUCAAACUGAACCUGAGCAACGGGUUUUAGCGGCUAAUCUUCUCCUUCAAUUGGAUAUGCUGGAAAAUCCAGAUGGAAGGAGUGUCUUCAAAGACGAAGCAGUGGAGGUCCUACUGGAAUCUCUAUCAUCUCAAGAAAAUUUCACUGCGCAAGCACUAGCAGCGUCUUUUCUGUCAAAUCUUGGAGGGACUCAUUCCUGGUCAGGAGAAUCCUACACUGCUGCAUGGCUAUCAAAGAAAGCAGGCCUCACCUCAAAAUCUCAUAGAAAUAUGAUCAGAAACAUCGACUGGCAGGAUGCUUGCCUUCAGGAUACAGAAAUAAGCUCAUGGAGCAACAAAUUUGCACGAGCAAUUAUAGGAAUAGGAGUGCCCUUUAUCAGUGCACUAGCCAAAGGAUUGCAAAGCAAGGUGAAGGGAACCUCACACGACUGCCUAGUAUGCGCCGCAUGGCUUGCAAGUGAGCUGGCUUCCCUUGGUGAAAAUGAUAUAAGAUGUUAUGCUUGUGAGAUCUUGUUACUUGACAUAGUGCACCACCUUCAUCCGGGAUGCGAGCUUGAUGAAAGGGUUCUAGCGUGCAUGUGUGUAUAUAACUACACCUCUGGAAAAGGUAAGCAAAAGUUGAUGAGCUUGUCAGAGGGUUCGCGAGAAUCCCUUAGGAGGCUUUCAUCAUUCACAUGGAUGGCUGAGGAGUUACUUCAAGUUACAGAUUACUACCUCCCUAGGAAACCACGUGUAUCAUGUGUACAUACACAAAUCCUAGAGAUUGGUCAACCUGGCAAUGGAGCAGUAACUGCUAUAACAUUCUUUAGAGGGCAGCUCUUUGUUGGUUACUUCAAUGGCACCAUCAGGGCAUGGGAUAUAAAAGGCCAGAGAGCAGUAAUCAUCAGAGAGGUUAAAGAGCACAAGAAAGCAGUCACGUGUUUUGCACUAUCAGAAACUGGACAAAAUCUCUUGAGCGGAUCAGCUGACAAAUCUAUUCGGGUAUGGAAAAUGGCACAGCGCAAGCUUGAGUGUGUCGAGGUAUUUCAAAUAAAAGAGGCUGUGCAGAAGUUUGAUAUUUACGGUGACAAAAUUAUUGUACUAACACAUAAAAACGUUCUGAAGUUCUCUUGUUCAGCAAGAAGCACCCAGACAUUUUACAAGAGCAAGCAUGUAAAAUCCCUAGCUCUUUCUCAGGGCAAAGCUUACCUCGGCUGCGGAGACUUGAGUAUACAGGAAUUAGAUGUAUCAGUAGAAUCGAAGAUUGAAAUAAGAGCGCCUACAAGAAGCUGGAGAAUCAGUAAGCAACCAAUUAACUCCAUAGUAGUAUAUAAAGAUUGGAUGUACUGUGCUGGUUCUCAAGUGGAAGGAUCUGCCAUGAAGGAUUGGAAAAAGCGAUGCAAGCCUACGAUGACAAUGUCAAUGCCAAAGGGAACAAAUGUAGAGGCAAUGGCAGUGGUGGAGGACUUCAUCUACCUGACCUGCAAUAAAAGCCCAAGUGUCAUUCAGAUAUGGUUGAGAGAGAAGCAGCAGAAAGUUGGAAGGCUGCCUGCAGGGAGCAAGAUAACGAGCCUCUUCACUGCAAAUGACAUCAUUUUCUGUGGAACUGAAACCGGGUUAAUCAAGGCAUGGAUCCCUUUGUGA
This 3042-nucleotide ribosomal RNA is filed under the name Triticum aestivum (bread wheat). Its description in RNAcentral is "partial small subunit ribosomal RNA". The record is from RNAcentral. Lineage: Eukaryota; Viridiplantae; Streptophyta; Magnoliopsida; Poales; Poaceae.